RNAcentral lists this ribosomal RNA (468 nucleotides) under uncultured bacterium. RNAcentral describes it as "partial 16S ribosomal RNA". It matches the Rfam family "Bacterial small subunit ribosomal RNA", at positions 28 to 507 of the family's 1533-position model. The record is from RNAcentral.
GACGAACGCUGGCGGCGUGCUUAACACAUGCAAGUCGAACGGAAAGGCCCUGCUUUUGUGGGGUGCUCGAGUGGCGAACGGGUGAGUAACACGUGAGUAACCUGCCCUUGACUUUGGGAUAACUUCAGGAAACUGGGGCUAAUACCGGAUAGGAGCUCCUGCUGCAUGGUGGGGGUUGGAAAGUUUCGGCGGUUGGGGAUGGACUCGCGGCUUAUCAGCUUGUUGGUGGGGUAGUGGCUUACCAAGGCUUUGACGGGUAGCCGGCCUGAGAGGGUGACCGGCCACAUUGGGACUGAGAUACGGCCCAGACUCCUAAGGGAGGCAGCAGUGGGGAAUAUUGCACAAUGGGCGGAAGCCUGAUGAAGCAACGCCGCGUGCGGGAUGACGGCCUUCGGGUUGUAAACCGCUUUCGCCUGUGACGAAGCGUGAGUGACGGUAAUGGGUAAAGAAGCACCGGCUAACUACGUG